RNAcentral lists this ribosomal RNA (253 nucleotides) under uncultured bacterium. RNAcentral's name for it is "partial 16S ribosomal RNA". It matches the Rfam family "Bacterial small subunit ribosomal RNA", at positions 524 to 776 of the family's 1533-position model. The record is from RNAcentral.
UACGAAGGGGGCUAGCGUUGCUCGGAUUGACUGGGCGUAAAGGGCGCGUAGGCGGUUUGUACAGUUGGGCGUGAAAUUCCUGGGCUUAACCUGGGGGCUGCGUUCAAUACGUGCAGGCUUGAGUUCGGAAGAGGGUCGUGGAAUUCCCAGUGUAGAGGUGAAAUUCGUAGAUAUCGGGAGGAACACCAGUGGCGAAGGCGGCUCACUGGACUGGUAUUGACGCUGAGGUGCGAAAGCGUGGGGAGCAAACAGG